AAAAAAGCAGGGGUUUGUCAAUCAUGUUGACCAAUCUUUAGUAAACUUCAGGAAUAUAAUAAUCUCCAUUGUUAUUGGGUGAACCUUUGUUCUUUUGUUGUGAUUGAAGGUUCAGUAAAUGAUGGAACACGU
This is a non-coding RNA of Vigna angularis (adzuki bean), 132 nucleotides long. The record is from Rfam. Lineage: Eukaryota; Viridiplantae; Streptophyta; Magnoliopsida; Fabales; Fabaceae.